RNAcentral lists this ribosomal RNA (845 nucleotides) under uncultured Flavobacteriia bacterium. RNAcentral's name for it is "bacterial SSU rRNA". It matches the Rfam family "Bacterial small subunit ribosomal RNA", at positions 70 to 914 of the family's 1533-position model. The record is from RNAcentral. Lineage: Bacteria; Pseudomonadati; Bacteroidota; Flavobacteriia.
CAGCGCGGGUAGCAAUACCUGGCGGCGACCGGCAAACGGGUGCGGAACACGUACGCAACCUUCCUUUAAGCGGGGAAUAGCCCAGGGAAACUUGGAUUAAUACCCCAUAUUAUUACGAAAUGGCAUCAUUUUGUAAUUAAAGCUCCGGCACUUAAAGAUGGGCGUGCGGCUGAUUAGGUAGUUGGCGGGGUAACGGCCCACCAAGCCUACGAUCAGUAACUGGUGUGAGAGCACGACCAGUCACACGGGCACUGAGACACGGGCCCGACUCCUACGGGAGGCAGCAGUAAGGAAUAUUGGUCAAUGGACGCAAGUCUGAACCAGCCAUGCCGCGUGGAGGAUGAAGGCCCUCUGGGUUGUAAACUUCUUUUAUAUGGGAAGAAACCCAUCUUUUCUAAGGUGGUUGACGGUACCAUUUGAAUAAGCACCGGCUAACUCCGUGCCAGCAGCCGCGGUAAUACGGAGGGUGCAAGCGUUAUCCGGAUUCACUGGGUUUAAAGGGUGCGUAGGUGGACAGGUAAGUCAGUGGUGAAAUCUCCGAGCUUAACUCGGAAACUGCCGUUGAUACUAUCUGUCUUGAAUGUAGUGGAGGUGAGCGGAAUAUGUCAUGUAGCGGUGAAAUGCUUAGAUAUGACAUAGAACACCCAUUGCGAAGGCAGCUCGCUACACUAUUAUUGACACUGAGGCACGAAAGCGUGGGGAUCAAACAGGAUUAGAUACCCUGGUAGUCCACGCCCUAAACGAUGGAUACUCGACAUCAGCGAUACACAGUUGGUGUCUGAGCGAAAGCAUUAAGUAUCCCACCUGGGAAGUACGACCGCAAGGUUGAACUCAAAGGAAUUGAC